AGAGUUUGAUCAUGGCUCAGAAUCAACGCUGGCGGCGUGCCUAACACAUGCAAGUCGCACGAGAAAGUGGAGCAAUCCAUGAGUAAAGUGGCGUACGGGUGAGUAACACGUGACUAACCUACCUUCGAGUGGGGAAUAACCUCGGGAAACCGGGGCUAAUACCGCAUAACAUCUUCUGGCUGAGAUGCCGGUUGAUCAAAGUAGCAAUGCGCUUGAAGAGGGGGUCGCGGCUGAUUAGCUAGUUGGUGAGGUAACGGCUCACCAAGGCGAUGAUCAGUAGCCGGCCUGAGAGGGCGCUCGGUCACACUGGAACUGAAACACGGUCCAGACUCCUACGGGAGGCAGCAGUGGGGAAUUUUGCGCAAUGGGGGAAACCCUGACGCAGCAACGCCGCGUGGAGGAUGAAGUCCCUUGGGACGUAAACUCCUUUCGAUCGGGACGAUUAUGACGGUACCGGAAGAAGAAGCCCCGGCUAACUUCGUGCCAGCAGCCGCGGUAAUACGAGGGGGGCAAGCGUUGUUCGGAAUUAUUGGGCGUAAAGGGCGCGUAGGCGGUGCGGUAAGUCUGUUGUGAAAUCUCCGGGCUCAACUCGGAGCUUGCAUCAGAAACUGCCGUGCUUGAGUGUGGGAGAGGUGAGUGGAAUUCCCGGUGUAGCGGUGAAAUGCGUAGAUAUCGGGAGGAACGCCUGUGGCGAAAGCGGCUCACUGGACCACAACUGACGCUGAUGCGCGAAAGCUAGGGGAGCAAACAGGAUUAGAUACCCUAGUAGUCC
RNAcentral lists this ribosomal RNA (772 nucleotides) under uncultured bacterium. RNAcentral's name for it is "bacterial SSU rRNA". It matches the Rfam family "Bacterial small subunit ribosomal RNA", at positions 8 to 796 of the family's 1533-position model. The record is from RNAcentral.